RNAcentral lists this ribosomal RNA (467 nucleotides) under uncultured bacterium. RNAcentral's name for it is "partial 16S ribosomal RNA". It matches the Rfam family "Bacterial small subunit ribosomal RNA", at positions 28 to 507 of the family's 1533-position model. The record is from RNAcentral.
GACGAACGCUGGCGGCGUGCUUAACACAUGCAAGUCGAACGGAAAGGCCCUGCUUUUGUGGGGUGCUCGAGUGGCGAACGGGUGAGUAACACGUGAGUAACCUGCCCUUGACUUUGGGAUAACUUCAGGAAACUGGGGCUAAUACCGGAUAGGAGCUCCUGCUGCAUGGUGGGGGUUGGAAAGUUUCGGCGGUUGGGGAUGGACUCGCGGCUUAUCAGCUUGUUGGUGGGGUAGUGGCUUACCAAGGCUUUGACGGGUAGCCGGCCUGGGAGGGUGACCGGCCACAUUGGGACUAGAUACGGCCCAGACUCCUACGGGAGGCAGCAGUGGGGAAUAUUGCACAAUGGGCGGAAGCCUGAUGCAGCAACGCCGCAUGCGGGAUGACGGCCUUCGGGUUGUAAACCGCUUUCGCCUGUGACGAAGCGUGAGUGACGGUAAUGGGUAAAGAAGCACCGGCUAACUACGUG